Trichomycterus rosablanca is the source of this 291-nucleotide non-coding RNA. The record is from the annotation of a RefSeq genome assembly. Lineage: Eukaryota; Metazoa; Chordata; Actinopteri; Siluriformes; Trichomycteridae.
AUGUUUCUACUGAACUGCAGUGAUCUGUCUGAGGGAUCGGCCUCGCUGCUCUGCCUGCUGUCUGAUUACUCUCCACAGGGGGCGCUGGUGAGCUGGACGGUGGACGGCAGAGUGCUGGAGGACGGGGUGGUGACCGGAGCAGAAGAACUGAAAGGGGGCAGUUGGAGGCGUGGCAGCACCCUGACCCUCAGCAAAGCACAGUGGGAAAAGGGGGAGGAGUUUGGCUGUAAGGUCUCUCACGGUGGCGUCGAUCAUCCCGUCGUAUUCAGAAAGAACCAGUGUGAAGGCUAG